CCUACGGGUGGCAGCAGUGAGGAAUAUUGGUCAAUGGGCUUACGCCUGAACCAGCCAAGUCGCGUGAGGGAAGACUGCCCUAUGGGUUGUAAACUUCUUUUAUAAAGGAAUAAAACGAGGCACGUGUGCCUUUUUGUAUGUACUUUAUGAAUAAGGAUCGGCUAACUCCGUGCCAGCAGCCGCGGUAAUACGGAGGAUCCGAGCGUUAUCCGGAUUUAUUGGGUUUAAAGGGAGCGUAGAUGGGUUGUUAAGUCAGUUGUGAAAGUUUGCGGCUCAACCGUAAAAUUGCAAUUGAUACUGGCAGUCUUGAGUACAGUUGAGGUAGGCGGAAUUCGUGGUGUAGCGGUGAAAUGCUUAGAUAUCACGAAGAACCCCGAUUGCGAAGGCAGCUUACUAAACUGUGACUGACAUUGAUGCUCGAAAGUGUGGGUAUCAAACAGGAUUAGAUACCCCAGUAGUC
Molecule: ribosomal RNA, 460 nt
Filed under: uncultured bacterium
Lineage: Bacteria
Description: partial 16S ribosomal RNA
Rfam family: Bacterial small subunit ribosomal RNA
Source: RNAcentral